RNAcentral lists this ribosomal RNA (509 nucleotides) under uncultured bacterium. Its description in RNAcentral is "bacterial SSU rRNA". It matches the Rfam family "Bacterial small subunit ribosomal RNA", at positions 9 to 514 of the family's 1533-position model. The record is from RNAcentral.
GAGUUUGAUCCUGGCUCAGAUUGAACGCUGGCGGCAGGCCUAACACAUGCAAGUCGGGCGGUAGAGAGAAGCUUGCUUCUCUUGAGAGCGGCGGACGGGUGAGUAAUGCCUAGGAAUCUGCCUGGUAGUGGGGGAUAACGCUCGGAAACGGACGCUAAUACCGCAUACGUCCUACGGGAGAAAGCAGGGGACCUUCGGGCCUUGCGCUAUCAGAUGAGCCUAGGUCGGAUUAGCUAGUUGGUGAGGUAAUGGCUCACCAAGGCGACGAUCCGUAACUGGUCUGAGAGGAUGAUCAGUCACACUGGAACUGAGACACGGUCCAGACUCCUACGGGAGGCAGCAGUGGGAAUAUUGGACAAUGGGCGAAAGCCUGAUCCAGCCAUGCCGCGUGUGUGAAGAAGGUCUUCGGAUUGUAAAGCACUUUAAGUUGGAGGAAGGGCAGUAAAUUAAUAACUUUGCUGUUUUGACGUUACCGACAGAAUAAGCACCGGCUAACUCUGUGCCAGCAG